Molecule: ribosomal RNA, 253 nt
Filed under: uncultured bacterium
Lineage: Bacteria
Description: partial 16S ribosomal RNA
Rfam family: Bacterial small subunit ribosomal RNA
Source: RNAcentral
GACAGAGGUGCCGAGCGUUAGGCGGAAUCACUGGGCUUAAAGCGUGUGUAGGCGGGUCGUUAAGUGCUUUGUGAAAUCCCACAGCUCAACUGUGGAACUGCUUGGCAUACUGGCGAUCUUGAGCCAGCUAGAGGCAACCGGAACAAACGGUGGAGCGGUGAAAUGCGUAGAUAUCGUUUGGAACGCCAAUGGUGAAAACAGGUUGCUGGGGCUGCGCUGACGCUGAGACACGAAAGCCAGGGGAGCGAACGGG